GACUCUCGGCAAGGGAUAUCUCGGCUCUCGCAUCGAUGAAGAACGUAGCAAAAUGUGAUACGUGGUGUGAAUUAUAGAAUCCCGUAAACCAUCGUGUCUUUGUGCCCCAAGCCAUUAGACCGAGGGCAUGUCUUCUUGGGUGUCA
Molecule: non-coding RNA, 145 nt
Organism: Gossypium raimondii (Peruvian cotton)
Lineage: Eukaryota; Viridiplantae; Streptophyta; Magnoliopsida; Malvales; Malvaceae
Source: Rfam